RNAcentral lists this ribosomal RNA (253 nucleotides) under uncultured bacterium. RNAcentral describes it as "partial 16S ribosomal RNA". It matches the Rfam family "Bacterial small subunit ribosomal RNA", at positions 524 to 776 of the family's 1533-position model. The record is from RNAcentral.
UACAGAGGGUGCAAGCGUUAAUCGGAAUUACUGGGCGUAAAGCGUGCGCAGGCGGUUUUGUAAGCCAGAUGUGAAAUCCCCGGGCUUAACCUGGGAAUGGCAUUUGGGACUGCAAGGCUUGAGUGCGGCAGAGGAGACUGGAAUUCCUGGUGUAGCAGUGAAAUGCGUAGAUAUCAGGAGGAAUACCGAUGGCGAAGGCAGGUCUCUGGUCUGACACUGACGCUCAUGCACGAAAGCGUGGGGAGCAAACAGG